Molecule: ribosomal RNA, 234 nt
Filed under: uncultured bacterium
Lineage: Bacteria
Description: partial 16S ribosomal RNA
Rfam family: Bacterial small subunit ribosomal RNA
Source: RNAcentral
CGCACGGGUGAGUAACACGUAUCCAACCUGCCGUCUACUCUUGGACAGCCUUCUGAAGGAAGAUUAAUACAAGAUGGCAUCAUGAGUCCGCAUGUUCACAUGAUUAAAGGUAUUCCGGUAGACGAUGGGGAUGCGUUCCAUUAGAUAGUAGGCGGGGUAACGGCCCACCUAGUCUUCGAUGGAUAGGGGUUCUGAGAGGAAGGUCCCCCACAUUGGAACUGAGACACGGUCCAA